CACCCUAUAAAUACAGUAGGGUUACUGCCUUCUAAGCAGCCGGUCAUGUGUUCGAAUCACAUCGGGGCCA
This 70-nucleotide transfer RNA is filed under the name Hymenobacter tibetensis. RNAcentral's name for it is "tRNA-Arg". Lineage: Bacteria; Pseudomonadati; Bacteroidota; Cytophagia; Cytophagales; Hymenobacteraceae. The record is from RNAcentral.